CCCCCUGGGUCACGAAGGAGUCUGGGAGAGGAUGGCUGUAGGACAGGAUCCCGUCCCUGCCCUGCUUUCACUCUCCGGGAGUGCAGCUCAGCCCUUGGCCGGGAGAUGGAGGUGCAGCAUCAGCUCCGGGCGGCGGGGGACAGCGCCCGGUCCUCGCAGCGCCCCUGCCCUGGGGCUCCGCCGGGAAGAGCACCUGCGGUGUUCCACAAAUCUCCGUCUCAGCAGCAUUUUCGACACCCGGAUUAGUUCCCUGCGUGCCCCUGUACAGCUCUGCUUUGGGGUCACGGUGGCCUUUGCCUUUCCUCAGCUGUUUGAAAAGAGCUGCCAGGCUGGAGUAACCCAAUGGAUAGCAGGGUGCCGUGGAUUGCUGCAGACCAAGGCUGGGAUGUGUAGAAGAUCACACAGUUAGGGAUCACCCACUUCACUUUAAAAACAAAUGCAAGAAAACUGUAUUCUGGUAAAAGGACAGGAUGGAAAUCAGUGACACUUGGGUAAGGAAUUAGAAUAAUUGGAGAACAUCUGAACAAAUAAAGCUGUGUUUGGAAAAGUG
This is a non-coding RNA of Lonchura striata (white-rumped munia), 550 nucleotides long. NCBI's taxonomy places the organism in Eukaryota, Metazoa, Chordata, Aves, Passeriformes, Estrildidae. The record is from RefSeq and is a predicted model, not a curated record.